Molecule: long non-coding RNA, 2033 nt
Organism: Mustela erminea (ermine)
Lineage: Eukaryota; Metazoa; Chordata; Mammalia; Carnivora; Mustelidae
Exons: 7
Source: RefSeq, a predicted model, not a curated record
UGUCGAGGAAAGAACGCCUGGUUUUCAGAUCCCAGGUUUCUACCCCUACAACCAGCUCCACUUAAGGUCUGUCUUCUUCCUUAAGAGUUCAAGGAUGGCAGCGCUGGACAAAUGAAUUCGUCGGGACCCAGUGUAUCACUGAUAAGGAAGUGGGACUAAUAAAAUGGCUGUAGGGACUCGGUGAAAUCAAGGAAGCCGAAGCUUGGUAUGCUUUUAAACACAUAAUAAAGAAUCAAUAAAUGGCAUAUUGAAUACUCAGAAAAGCUUGAAACAGUGAAGUAGCUGCACAGUGAGUCCUGAACUGAAUCGUGACCAAGUGGACAGCUGAAGAAAGAACACAAUGGAGGACGCAUUCGAGACUGCAGAGAGUCUGCUACUAACUCCAACAAUCCCAGACACGGGAACAGAUAAGGAGAAGAGAAGAAAAACAGAGGCAAUUUAUUUAUUUUUUUCAGAGAUUUCGGAGAUUGAAGCUAAGAAAUCCAGUUCCAUUUGAACAUCGCAUUACCCGCCCACCUAAUGGUUUCGGUAUGAUCUGUCCUCUCUGCUCAGUGCUCGGCGAGUUUCAAUCCUUGUUUUCUCUGCCAGAGGGUCAGAGCUCUACCCCGGGCUUUGUGCUCUAACCCCGAUCCACUUGAGAGAAUGGGGCCAGCAGUCUGGGUUGCAUGGUUUGCUCUCCCUGCAUUCCCAAGUAAGUGUUUAAUUGUCCAAUUUUCUUUUGCUUCUCUCCAGAAAGUGGGGAGGGACUCGUGGCUCAGUCCCAGGGCACCAAGUGUCCUCAGACCGCAGAACAGAGGGUCCCAUCACCUCCAAGAGGCUGCAUGAAAAAAAACAUAGUCACUUCAACUGAGGGUUUCCUAGACCAGCCAAACCCCAGCAGACCCACCAGCUCACCAGCAAUGCGUGUGAAUCCUGUCUUGUCCAGAUGAGCUGAGCCAAGCCUACUUCAGGCCAUCCAACUUGCUGGCUUCAGAGAAAAAAGAGAUUCCUGUUGUUGAAGUCAUUGACAUUUAUUGACCAUAUAGGAUGUGCCAGAAAUUGCUAAAUGCAGAAAACACAAAGAUGAACUAAAUAGGAUCCCUGCCCUUGAAUGUGUUGGAAGCGUUCACAAUGAGAUUAAGGAGCUGGAGUUGGAAGAAUCAAAUGAACCAUUGGAUAUGAAAGCACUUUGUAGAUUGUGAAGGGACCACAACCCAAAGCUCUGCAGGGGCAGAAUUGGCCUAGGUCCCCACUGACCAAGCACUCAUGCAGUGAAUGGCUGGGAACAGAGGAUAUGUGCAGAUUGCUCUAAGAAGACACAAUGUCGCUGGUUUGGAUGAAGCUGUUGCUACCCUCUCUCAUGGGGAAGGGACGGAUGCGACACUGGAGGACGUCAUGGCAUUUCAUUAGCUAUUGCCUAGGUGGGAAGUGAGGAGGUGCAUAUGGAGGAGAGAAGUAAAGGUGGAGGAGGUGAGCACUUGAUGAAACUGCUGGUAUGAGUAGGAAAUACGGAUAGUGAUAAAUGGCUCCAACAUGUGUACCAGGACAACAUGUGUCUAGGAUUACCACACUGAGGAUUUUGGGUCCUAAUGAAGUCCUGUGUAUUGUUUCCACUUUACAGGAAAGAAACUGAGGAUCAGAGGGUAAGUGACUUAUACAAGAUCCAAAGCAAGCAUAAAACAAGGGUAAUGUGUGUGUGUGUGUGGGGGGGGUGGAAUGGAAAUUUGUAAGCAGGUGUCAUGAUUUUAAAGUAAGAGCUUUCUGGGCUGUCCUCUGACCAUUUGGGGAAAAGAUAUGUUAAUAAAAGAUAUCUGUGGGCAAAUACAUUUGAAAUAAGAGUAUGAUUAAUCCUUAUUAUUUCAAAUGAGGUUGUCAACCAAAGUUCAAAGUCAACAUAUUUAAGGAUGUUCUUCUUGAGCUUUUUCUGUGUGCGAGGCUCUGGGCCUCGUGGCCGUCCAUUUUUAGCAGGAUGGAUGACAUGAAUUCUACCCAUGAGUGAUGCUGUACAACCACCCAUCUUUCUUGGGAGCAACUUGAAAGGCCGACUGGUUUAU